Molecule: ribosomal RNA, 868 nt
Filed under: uncultured bacterium
Lineage: Bacteria
Description: bacterial SSU rRNA
Rfam family: Bacterial small subunit ribosomal RNA
Source: RNAcentral
AGAGUUUGAUCAUGGCUCAGGACGAACGCUGGCGGUGCGCCUUAUGCAUGCAAGUCGAGCGAAGCUUUUCAGUAGUUUACUACAGAAAAUGACUGAGCGGCGAACGGGUGAGUAACGCGUGAGCAAUCUACCUUAGUUACAGGGAUAGCCCGAGGAAACUCGGAUUAAUACCUGAUAUUCUUUACAUUUCGCAUGAAAUCAAAAGGAAAGGUCAGCCGAACUAAGAUGAGCUCGCGUUCUAUCAGCUAGUUGGUGAGGUAAAAGCUCACCAAGGCAACGACGGAUAGCUGGUCUGAGAGGACGAUCAGCCACACUGGGACUGAGACACGGCCCAGACUCCUACGGGAGGCUGCAGCAGGGAAUAUUGCGCAAUGAGCGAAAGCUUGACGCAGCGACACCGCGUGUGGGAUGACGGAUCUAGGUUUGUAAACCACUUUCAGGAGGGAAGAAAAUGACGGUACCUCCACAAGAAGCCCCGGCCAACUACGUGCCAGCAGCCGCGGUAAUACGUAGGGGGCGAGCGUUGUCCGGAUUUAUUGGGCGUAAAGAGCUCGUAGGCGGUUCAACAAGUCGGUCGUAAAAGUUCAGGGCUCAACCCUGAAAUGUCGAUCGAUACUGUUGUGACUAGGAUACGGUAGAGGUGAGUGGAAUUCCGAGUGUAGCGGUGAAAUGCGUAGAUAUUCGGAGGAACACCAAUUGCGAAGGCAGCUCACUGGGCCGCUAUCGACGCUGAGGAGCGAAAGCUAGGGGAGCAAACAGGAUUAGAUACCCUGGUAGUCCUAGCUGUAAACGAUGGAUACUAGACGUAGGAACUGGGAUUGACGGUUUCUGUGUCGUAGCUAACGCGUUAAGUAUCCCGCCUGGGGGA